AUGCGCCAGGCAGGCAUCGUCAUGUUAGGUCUGGCUGGUUUGCUACGAUCAAGAUCAGUCGGCGGCCUCGAGGGCCAUGAGGAUGGCCCUGAAGAGGUUGAUGAUGUCGAGGUAGAGGGUGAUGGAGGCGGCGACGUACUCGUCGUAGGUGUAGCGCUUGAUGAGGUUGUCGGUGUCGUAGAUGAUGAAGGCGGAGAAGAUGAGGGCGGCGAUGCAGCCGUAGACGAGCACGGCCGUCUUGCCCAUGGGGAAGAGGAUGAUGACGAUGGCGUAGAGCAUGAGGAUGACGCAGGCGGCGAAGAGGAAGGGCCCCAGGAACUCGAAGUCGUGGCCGCGCCUGCCCGCCCAGAAGGUGUAGGCGGUGAGGGAGACGACGACGACGAGCGUCAUGCCCGCCGCCUCGAAGAUGAUGGGCCCGCGCUUGGUGAGGCACCCCAGCCCCACCGACAGGCUGACGCACACGGUGAAGAUGCCCAGGAACACCAUGUUCACCGGGUGCUUCUUCCGGUAGUAGACCAUGGGCAGCAUCACUGCGCUUGCAGCCACUGCGUCCAUCAGCAACGCAUGGAGAAAUUAGGCAUGAAUGAAAAGCGAAGCAGAGAUGCCGACCGAGGAGGGGGGAGAUGA
This 627-nucleotide ribosomal RNA is filed under the name Triticum aestivum (bread wheat). RNAcentral describes it as "partial small subunit ribosomal RNA". The record is from RNAcentral. Lineage: Eukaryota; Viridiplantae; Streptophyta; Magnoliopsida; Poales; Poaceae.